Molecule: ribosomal RNA, 453 nt
Filed under: uncultured bacterium
Lineage: Bacteria
Description: bacterial SSU rRNA
Rfam family: Bacterial small subunit ribosomal RNA
Source: RNAcentral
UACGGAAGGCAGCAGUGGGGAAUAUUGCACAAUGGGCGAAAGCCUGAUGCAGCUAUGCCGCGUGUAUGAAGAAGGCCUUAGGGUUGUAAAGUACUUUCAUCGGGGAGGAAAAAACAAAACUAAUAAUUUUAUUUCUUGACGUUACCCGAAAAAGAAGCACCGGCUAACUCCGUGCCAGCAGCCGCGGUAAUACGGAGGGUGCGAGCGUUAAUCGGAAUUACUGGGCGUAAAGGGCACGCAGGCGGUUAAUUAAGUUGGAUGUGAAAUCCCCGGGCUUAACCUGGGAAUGGCAUUCAAGACUGGUUAGCUAGAGUCUUGUAGAGGGGGUUAGAAUUCCAUGUGUAGCGGUGAAAUGCGUAGAGAUGUGGAGGAAUACCGGUGGCGAAGGCGGCCCCUGGACAAAGACUGACGCUCAUGUGCGAAAGCGUGGGGAGCAAACAGGGAUUAGAUACC